CAAGUUUAAAUUGAAAUGAGUGAACUGGAGUGAGGAUCAGCUCUUUUUUUCCCGUCCGUCUAAUAUCAGCGAUCAUCCCUUGAGUACUAACUCAUUUGGCUAAUGAAACAUCGAGCAGAUCCCCUGUGGCAUCUUACCACCUCUCCCUGGCUGAUUUCUGCUAUUACUCCAGUGAUUUAUGUGGCAUUGUGAUCUGAUCUGCUGGACUGAAAUCAGAUCAGAACCGAGACCUUAUUAUAUGGAAUAGUCUUGCUGAUUGGGUUUUGCUUUGUUUUGUUUUCCUGACUAGUGUUCCUUUCUGUAAUGUUAUGAUACUAGCCCAGACAUAAUAUUUACAAUUUUUGAAGUCCAUGUUGACCCCAUUAAUACACAAAAAUUUUAUUUACACAAGUAUUUGCUUCCAAACAAACUUGAAGUACUUUGGUAAACUGAGGAAGAGACAAACUUUAUACAAAGAAAAACUGAACUUGCCACUGAGACACAAAAAGAAACUCUUUAUUGACUGGCAGAUUUCUAUCCUAGGACUAGAAGCUGUUAUCAUACAGUCUGAGAGAUACUGUUCUUUUACAUACAACCUGGAUUGGGCAUGAUGAAUCCAAGACCUCAGCAGAGAGAGGUCUCCGAGCUUUUAUUAAAUAGUUUGAGGUAUCCUUUGGUAAAACUGUUAGAAUUAUGGUGGUAGGACAGCAGGGAAAAG
Molecule: long non-coding RNA, 697 nt
Organism: Cygnus olor (mute swan)
Lineage: Eukaryota; Metazoa; Chordata; Aves; Anseriformes; Anatidae
Exons: 3
Source: RefSeq, a predicted model, not a curated record